RNAcentral lists this ribosomal RNA (630 nucleotides) under uncultured bacterium. Its description in RNAcentral is "bacterial SSU rRNA". It matches the Rfam family "Bacterial small subunit ribosomal RNA", at positions 64 to 692 of the family's 1533-position model. The record is from RNAcentral.
GAACGAAGCGGUUACAGGGAUUCCCUUCGGGGCUGAACGGUAAUUGUCUGAGUGGCGGACGGGUGAGUAACGCGUGGGCAACCUGCCCCAUACCGGGGGAUAACAGCCGGAAACGGCUGCUAAUACCGCAUACGCCCAGGAGGCUGCAUAGCUUCCUGGGGAAAACUCCGGUGGUAUGGGAUGGGCCCGCGUCUGAUUAGCUCGUUGGCGGGGUAACGGCCCACCAAGGCGACGAUCAGUAGCCGGCCUGAGAGGGCGGCCGGCCACAUUGGGACUGAGACACGGCCCAGACUCCUGCGGGAGGCAGCAGUGGGGAAUAUUGCACAAUGGGGGAAACCCUGAUGCAGCGACGCCGCGUGAGCGAUGAAGUAUCUCGGUAUGUAAAGCUCUAUCAGCAGGGAAGAAAGUGACAGUACCUGACUAAGAAGCCCCGGCUAACUACGUGCCAGCAGCCGCGGUAAUACGUAGGGGGCAAGCGUUAUCCGGAUUCACUGGGCGUAAAGGGAGCGCAGGCGGCACGGCAAGUCUGGUGUGAAAACCCGGGGCUCAACCCCGGGACUGCAUUGGAAACUGCCGGGCUGGAGUGUCGGAGGGGUAAGCGGAAUUCCUAGUGUAGCGGUGAAAUGCGUA